GAUUAUGACGACCUGGCUGGGAACGGAACAAGCAGUGACUCCGAUGAGAGCUAUGAGCCACCAAGGCCUCCUACCCCACCGCAGCGAUGCCGUAAGUUCUCCAGAAAGCCUGAAGUAUGUUCUGCCAUGUAUGAAAAGGUUAAACAACCUUCAAAAUCUGGAACAGCAGCGUCACAGUCCCCAGG
Rhipicephalus sanguineus (brown dog tick) is the source of this 185-nucleotide long non-coding RNA. RefSeq lists it as uncharacterized. The transcript has 3 exons. Lineage: Eukaryota; Metazoa; Arthropoda; Arachnida; Ixodida; Ixodidae. The record is from RefSeq and is a predicted model, not a curated record.